UACGGGAGUGGCAAGCGUUAUCCGGAAUUAUUGGGCGUAAAGCGUCCGCAGGCGGCCUUUUAAGUCUGUUGUUAAAGCGUGGAGCUUAACUCCAUUUCAGCAAUGGAAACUGGAAGGCUUGAGUGUGGUAGGGGCAGAGGGAAUUCCCGGUGUAGCGGUGAAAUGCGUAGAUAUCGGGAAGAACACCAGUGGCGAAGGCGCUCUGCUGGGCCAUAACUGACGCUCAUGGACGAAAGCCAGGGGAGCGAAAGGGAUUAGAUACCCCUGUAGUCCUGGCCGUAAACGAUGAACACUAGGUGUCGGGGGAAUCGACCCCCUCGGUGUCGUAGCCAACGCGUUAAGUGUUCCGCCUGGGGAGUACGCACGCAAGUGUGAAACUCAAAGGAAUUGACGGGGGCCCGCACAAGCGGUGGAGUAUGUGGUUUAAUUCGAUGCAACGCGAAGAACCUUACCAGGGUUUGACAUCCUGCGAAUCCCUUGGAAACGAGGGAGUGCCUUCGGGAGCGCAGUGACAGGUGGUGCAUGGCUGUCGUCAGCUCGUGUCGUGAGAUGUUGGGUUAAGUCCCGCAACGAGCGCAACCCACGUCGUUAGUUGCCAGCAUUCAGUUGGGCACUCUAGCGAGACCGCCGGUGAUAAACCGGAGGAAGGUGUGGAUGACGUCAAGUCAUCAUGCCCCUUACAUCCUGGGCUACACACGUACUACAAUGCUACGGACAAAGGGCAGCAAACUCGCGAGAGCUAGCAAAUCCCAUAAACCGUGGCUCAGUUCAGAUCGUAGGCUGCAACUCGCCUACGUGAAGGAGGAAUCGCUAGUAAUCGCAGGUCAGCAUACUGCGGUGAAUACGUUCCCGGGCCU
RNAcentral lists this ribosomal RNA (857 nucleotides) under uncultured bacterium. RNAcentral's name for it is "SSU rRNA". It matches the Rfam family "Bacterial small subunit ribosomal RNA", at positions 524 to 1381 of the family's 1533-position model. The record is from RNAcentral.